CUAGGACCUGCCUUUGAGGAGACCAGGCCUUGUGGGUCUGGUUUGCAGCUCUGGCACCACUCAGGGCCCUGCUCCCCUACUUCCCUGCUGCCACACGACUCAGCCUUGGCACCGAACCAAAGCUGAUGGAAAAAUUAACCAUCUGGAGCAUUGUCCAUCUCAUGGCAGAAAGAAAAUGACAAGGCAAAUGGUGCCCUGACUUCCAGAACUCAGCACAAAACUGACCAACAUCACUUCUUUGACUAAACCAAGUAAUAUAGCCAUUCCUAAGUUCAAUGGCAUGGGAAUACGUCCUCCACAGAAAGGAACGUGACAGGAAAGGAACUGAAACGUUUAGUGAAUGAGAACACAUCUCUACCAUCUCCUCCUAGGAUGACUUCUUUCCCAGAGAUUUAUCGCAUCACUCGCAUACCCAGGCCGGCUGAUAUUUUAGGAGCGUGAAUCAGAGUGUCUGGCAUGGCUUUCUCUGCAGCCGAGCUCGUCUGCAAGCAUGAUGAAGUCGGGAGGGGGAAGAACUCCACUUAUCAGGGAGGAAAUUUGUGUCAGUGACAAGUCUGCCUGGCAACAGCGCUACGAAAGAGACACGCUAGGCCCCAACAUCGGGGCCAAAAUCUUCACGCCGCUGGAGAGCGUCACGCUAAGCAAUUUUACCCCUUGGUAUGUCACUGACUUGCUGAGUCAUAUUUGGCAAGCUCAGGAUCUCUCUUUUCUCCCUGUUUUUCCAUCUGGAUAAUAUGGUUUAUAAAGAGCUCUAAGGCAUUCUGUUUCCAAAAAGGUAAAAGCAUACAAAAAUAAUUGUGUUGUUUACCAAAA
Lutra lutra (Eurasian river otter) is the source of this 813-nucleotide long non-coding RNA. RefSeq lists it as uncharacterized. The record is from RefSeq and is a predicted model, not a curated record. Lineage: Eukaryota; Metazoa; Chordata; Mammalia; Carnivora; Mustelidae. The transcript is spliced from 4 exons.